This 460-nucleotide ribosomal RNA is filed under the name uncultured bacterium. RNAcentral describes it as "partial 16S ribosomal RNA". It matches the Rfam family "Bacterial small subunit ribosomal RNA", at positions 338 to 795 of the family's 1533-position model. The record is from RNAcentral.
CCUACGGGUGGCAGCAGUGAGGAAUAUUGGUCAAUGGGCGCUAGCCUGAACCACCCAAGUAGCGUGAAGGAUGACUGCCCUAUGGGUUGUAAACUUCUCUUAUAUGGGAAUAAAGUGCAGUAUGUAUACUGCUUUGCAUGUACCCUAUGAAUAAGCAUCGGCUAACUCCGUGCCAGCAGCCGCGGUAAUACGGAGGAUCCGAGCGUUAUCCGGAUUUAUUGGGUUUAAAGGGAGCGUAGGCGGGUUGUUAAGUCAGUGGUGAAAGUUUGCGGCUCAACCGUAAAAUUGCAGUUGAUACUGGCAGCCUUGAGUACAGUAGAGGUAGGCGGAAUUCGUGGUGUAGCGGUGAAAUGCUUAGAUAUCACGAAGAACUCCGAUUGCGAAGGCAGCCUGCUGGACUGUAACUGACGCUGAUGCUCGAAAGUGUGGGUAGCAAACAGGAUUAGAUACCCGGGUAGUC